UUUCUCCUCCUCACUCACGCCCAUAGUAACAAUGACCAGUCUUGCGUAGAUCACCAGUGUCAGUGUUCACUGUGUCUUUGGUGACGCGUGGUCGGCUCUGUUAUCGGGAUGAAACGCAUGUUUCAUGCUGUGGUGUUUGUAUUGGUAAGUGCGAGGCAGACAAGUCACGCUGAUGUAAUUCAGUCAUAGAUCUUCACAUAUCGGGCUUAAAUGUGUCGAUAUAGCAAAAUAUGUGGAUUUAAAACGCGAAACUUGCAGAACCUCAAAAAAAAUUUGUCCAGGGCGGCAGCGAAGGGUUGUCUUUUCACAAACACGGUGGUGGGAUCCUUCAUCGUUACCCCCGCGGCUUCUAGCCUCUCUACGAAGGAAUUUAGACUCUAUUCCGACUCUUAUGGCAAGACAGCUGCAGGGAAGUAGCGGGGAUGCCACCACUGCACAUGUAAAGACAAUUCCUUACUCCCUCGCUUGACAAAUUUUUUAAUUAGGUUUAGGUUCUGAAAGUUUCGCGUAUUCUAAUUCACAUGUUUUGCUACAUCGACACCAUUCAAGCCCGACAUGUGAAGAUCCGUGAUUGACUUUUUCUCGCAACCAUCACUACAAGCACCACAAAAUGAGGAGAAAAAAAUGCGUUGCAAUCAAAGGGAAAGCCGAUUACGCGUCACCAAACACACGAUGAAUACUGAGCGAGGAGGAGAGAUGCACUUGAGAUGUCAACAAGUCAAUUUGUCCCAGCCCAUUUUUUAUGCUUGCUAAGAGAUCUUAAAUAAGACGUGCUCCCCAAGCAGCCUUUGCAAUUUCAACUCAAGAUCGGUAUUCGCUGACUGCAUUAUUAUUAUUAUUGAUAAUAUCAUUAUUACUAUUACUAAUAAUAUCAUUAUCAUUAUUAUUACUAUCAUCAUCAUUAGGAUCGUCAGUUUAUUUAAUAGUCUUUUUAUUGCUAUCAGGUGUUUCUUUAUCAAUAUAUCAUUGAACAUUGUGUCUGUUCAGUCAUUCAUUACAAUUAACGUCGCUAAGUAUCAGAAGUACAAAUGACAAACACGUCUUCCCUGCUGCUUGACCGCCCUGCUCCCGGGGCGUGAAGGCGAAGCAUGCAGGAGUGAGGUGACGGGGCAAGAGGUUACCAAGCGGCAUCGUGGAACAUAUUCUGUCUUAAUCAGGGCCUUUGGACUCUCCAGAAAGGUGAGCAGAAAGGCGAAGACACGCCUUCCCCGUGUAUAAAUGCAGCUGCAAUAGAUUGUCUGUCAGAAUCAGCUCACCGCAGCCUCUCAACAUGGAGCUCGCUCUCCUCGUAUGCCUGGUGGCCGCCGCCACUACCGCCCCGCACUUCUUCCGGCGAUGUGGGCGUCCUUAUCACGGCGAGGGCAAACAUAUCGCUAUCCUGUCGCAGACUCAAGAGGGUCCUGACGGCGCCAGGUUUUGCUACGCAUUCUAGACGGAGAACGGCAACGACGUGGAGGCGAGGAAGACAUCUGUAUCCAUGGACCAGAGCAACAUCGACGGCAGCAGCUUCAGGCGAGUCACGUGUGCAAGGAAAAACUUGUCAGUACCUCACCAGCAAGUGUCUCAACACACCUGACGCCUGCUGAUCCAGCUUCGCUCAGCUCAAUCUUCCCCGUCAUUCCAGCUUCCCUUCCCCUUAGGCAGGCACCUGCAGUGUGACCUAUGUGGCUGACGAGAACGGCUACCGCCCAGUCCCUGCUCAUCCCCACGCCUCGCCCGCUCCCCGACCACGUCAUCGAGCAGUUUCGCUUCGCCGAGACCCAACGCAGGUUUGACUAAGGCGCCUCCCCUAUGCCGGUCCCGUCCAUGCAUGAAGGCGGACAUCCGAUGAACACUGGCCCUCAUCUGGUUACGCUGACCACGCGUCACUCGUCAGAAAGUGUCCAGCCAGUUAAACCUAACCAGGCAUGUCGUCAGGAUAAUAAAGACAGAGGAGAUGAACACUGGUGCUUCCUUCCUCCCUCAACCGUCUCGAGGAGCAGCAGCAGCAGUAGUGGUGGUGGUGGUGGUGGUGGUGGGUGGUGACAAUGCGCACUCAGUGAACCUGGCGUAACACUAGCAGCACCUCCGCACCACAUCCCCACCCCAAUUCCUAUCCGCUCCCCCACCACCACCACCACUACCCAACACCAUCGUACAGAAGACUGGAUCAGUUCUUGCUGGUUAUACACAAGUAGAGGAUGCGGCCUAUAACUUUAGAUUGCUUGACUGAUUUGAGGCGCUGAAAUAACACUUAUAACAAAGAACAGAAGAACAAGUGAAGCGCAAAUUCAGCCCCACAAAUCCAUUAAUCCACCGAUCAGAGAUCAGUGGCGGCGUGCUGGCUACACGACGUCUCAUUAACGUAACCACAGAGUACAUUUAGUUAGUCAAAAAAAAUUACUAGAGAAUGAGAAGUAAUCUGCUUGCCUUGUGGUUGUUAUACCCUUUCCCUUCUUUCGUCACCUUAUUAUACCAUCACUGUCGAUACUA
Molecule: long non-coding RNA, 2472 nt
Organism: Scylla paramamosain (green mud crab)
Lineage: Eukaryota; Metazoa; Arthropoda; Malacostraca; Decapoda; Portunidae
Exons: 2
Source: RefSeq, a predicted model, not a curated record